GGGCGAGUGGCGGAAUGGCAGACGCGCUGGCUUCAGGUGCCAGUGUCCGCAAGGACGUGGGGGUUCAAGUCCCCCCUCGCCCACC
Molecule: transfer RNA, 85 nt
Filed under: uncultured Actinomycetes bacterium
Lineage: Bacteria; Bacillati; Actinomycetota; Actinomycetes
Description: uncultured actinobacterium tRNA-Ser
Rfam family: tRNA
About the family: Transfer RNA (tRNA) molecules are approximately 80 nucleotides in length. Their secondary structure includes four short double-helical elements and three loops (D, anti-codon, and T loops).
Source: RNAcentral